Molecule: ribosomal RNA, 427 nt
Filed under: uncultured archaeon
Lineage: Archaea
Description: bacterial SSU rRNA
Rfam family: Archaeal small subunit ribosomal RNA
Source: RNAcentral
CACCAGCCCCCGAGUGGUGGGGAUGAUUAUUUGGCCUAAAGCGUCCGUAGCCGGCCCGGUAAAUCUCUCGUUAAAUCCAGCGUCCCAAGCGUUGGGCUGCGAGGGAGACUGCCGGGCUAGAGGGUGGGAGAGGUCAGCGGUAUUCCUGGGGUAGGGGCGAAAUCCAUUGAUCCCAGGAGGACCACCAGUGGCGAAGGCUGCUGACUAGAACACGCCUGACGGUGAGGGACGAAAGCUGGGGUAGCGAAUCGGAUUAGAUACCCGAGUAGUCCCAGCCGUAAACGAUGCAGGCUAGGUGUUGGGGCGGCCACGCGCCGCCUCAGUGCCACAGGGAAGCCAUUAAGCCUGCCGCCUGGGGAGUACGGCCGCAAGGCUGAAACUUAAAGGAAUUGGCGGGGAGCACCACCAGGCGUGAAGCCUGCGGUUU